GCUAAAUAAAAAUAGCAGAAAAAUGCAUUCUUUUUAUAAAAAAAUAAUGAGACUCCAGCUUAACUCUGGGAUAAGCUAUUUGGUGAUAGACACAGUACCUGGACCGGGCAGAGGAGUGGAAUCCAAAGAUAAAGUUAGGAGAACGUACUUCAAGGGGAAAUUUGUCCUUUCACUUGUGGUAUCAUAGUCUUUCAUGGAUCCCAUGCUGUUGUCUGUUUAUUUCUCCUUAAACAAGGAAAAAUAUACCCAGACCCAGUUUUCAUCAACAGACCAGCCCAUGGCAACCAUCACUCUACUUUCUGUCUCUAUGAAUUUGAAUACUCUGGGUAACCUCAUUCUGGGAUGAUAUGAAACCUUGCAGACGACAUGCAUGGAUCAACUCAUGAGACAGUAAAUCACUCAAAAUCUUACUACAAAAGACAACGUCCUUAUUUGCUUUUACAGAAAAAGGGCAUCUGUUGGAGGCUGGAGGAUCUACUGUCAAGAUGACUCACUCUUAUGACUAGCAGGUUGGUGCUGACUUUCAACUUGGAGAUCCGUAAGGCUAUGGGCCAGAGCCUUUGGUUCAGCUCCUUGAGGGCAUCUUCAUGAGACCACUACGGGCAACUCUCCAUCUAUCCCUCCUGAUUCCUUUAUGGACAACUCUCCAUCUAUUCCACCUGAUUCCUCUAUGGACAACUCUCCAUCUAUUCCGCCUGAUUCCUCCAUGGGCAACUGUCCAUGUAUUCCACCUGACUCCCAGCUAGGCUGCAUCCUCCACCAUUGGAAUCAAUUUGACCCUGACAACCUAAAAAGAAAACUGUGAUGAUUAAUACUGAGUGUCAACUUGAUUGGAUAGAAGGAUGCAAAGUAUUGAUCCUGGAUGUGUCUGUGAGGGUAUUGCCAAAGGAGAUUAACAUUUGAGUCAGUGGGCUGGGAAAGGCAGACCCACUCUUAAUCUGGGUGGGCACCAUCUAAUUAGCUGCCAGCAUGGCUAGAAUAUAAAGCAGGCAGAAAAACAUGAAAAAACUAGAUUGGCCUAGCCUCCCGGCAUACAUCUUUCUCCUGUGCUGGAUGAUUCCUGCCUUUGAACAUCGGACUCCAAGUUCUUCAGUUUUGGGACUCACACUGGCUUUCCUUGUUCUUCAGCUUGCAGACAGUCUAUUGUGGGAUGUGGUGAUCGUGUGAGUUAAUACUACUUAAUAAACUCAUACGUAUAAUAUAUAUCAUAUAUAUGAUAUAUAUGAUAUAUAUAUCAUAUAUAUGAUAUAUAUAUGAUAUAUAUAUAUCAUAUAUAUAUCAUAUAUAUAUAUUCUAUUCAGUCCCUCUACAGAGCCCUGACUAAUACAGAUUUUGGUACCAGGAGUGGUUCUAGAAGAGCAGAAUAUUAAGGCUGGAGUUCUUUCAUUGGUUUUGGGGUUUCUGGAGUUGGCUGCUUAAUAUGAUUAGACCCAAAAAUGCUAAGGACUCUACUUCUAAUAGUAUAGAGAACACUAAUAGUCCUUGGCAUAAACCAUUUAGAGAGUUAUGCAAAAUAAAUGCAUUUGAAAAUCCUGGUUCACUGCUCAUGAGAAGCAAGGAAUUUAGCAACUCUGUACAUAAUACCUUUGAUCGUAUGUGGAAAACCAAGGAACAUAAUAAAGCUGGUCGGUUGCUCCUAAGUUCACUGAAUAAAGUGAUGAAAGAAAGUAAUGAACUCAGGGAUUCUAACUCCCUCCCAGCUUCAGAAGCAGAUAUUGAGCCUCAAAUCUGCUAAGAUUGCCCUGAGUGAGAGUCUUAUCUUCUGUAGAGAAAUAGCUGAAACUAUGGAAAAACAGACACAAGUCCUUAUCAUGUGAGUGGCUGACCUGCAACGAAAAGUGCAUGCACACACUCGCCAGGUGCCUACUGUUAAAGUGAGGGCAUUGACUGGAAAAGAAUAGGAUCCUGCAAGUUGGAGUGGGGACAUGUGGGAGGACCCUGAUAAAGCUGGGGACACUGAACUUGUAUACUCUGAUGAAUGUUUUUUGCCGGAAGAAACAGCUUGCCUAUCCCCAGUAGUGGCAACUACUGGGAUGUGAGAUAGUGGUGGAAGG
RNAcentral lists this long non-coding RNA (2054 nucleotides) under Homo sapiens (human). RNAcentral's name for it is "HSALNT0313120". The record is from RNAcentral. Lineage: Eukaryota; Metazoa; Chordata; Mammalia; Primates; Hominidae.